This 494-nucleotide ribosomal RNA is filed under the name uncultured bacterium. RNAcentral's name for it is "partial 16S ribosomal RNA". It matches the Rfam family "Bacterial small subunit ribosomal RNA", at positions 28 to 507 of the family's 1533-position model. The record is from RNAcentral.
GACGAACGCUGGCGGCGCGCUUAACACAUGCCAGUCGAACGGAAAGGCCUGCUUUCCCUUGUGGAUUGCGGGUACUCGAGUGGCGAACGGGUGAGUAACACGUGAGUGAUCUGCCCCCAACUUGGGUAUAAGCCUGGGAAACUGGGUCUAAUUCCCGAUAGGACUGCAGGGUGGUGCCUGUGGUGGAAAACGAUUUUCUAGUGGUUGGGGAUGAGCUCGCGGCCUAUCAGCUUGUUGGUGGGGUAAUGGCCUACCAAGGCGGCGACGGGUAGCCGGCCUGAGAGGGUGGACGGCCACAUUGGGACUGAGAUACGGCCCAGACUCCUACGGGAGGCAGCAGUGGGGAAUAUUGCACAAUGGGCGGAAGCCUGAUGCAGCGACGCCGCGUGGGGGAUGACGGCCUUCGGGUUGUAAACUCCUUUCGACCGCGAGGAAGCCACCUGGUUGGAAGGGUGGUGACGGUAGUGGUAGAAGAGGCACCGGCUAACUACGUG